CUAGAUAGGCAGGCCUCGAUCCUACAGAACUUUAGUUAACAGCUAAACACCCAAACCAGCGGGCUUCUAUCCG
RNAcentral lists this transfer RNA (73 nucleotides) under Liolaemus fuscus. RNAcentral describes it as "tRNA-Asn". Lineage: Eukaryota; Metazoa; Chordata; Lepidosauria; Squamata. The record is from RNAcentral.